GAUGAACGCUGGCGGCGUGCUUAACACAUGCAAGUCGAACGAUGAAGCCCAGCUUGCUGGGUGGAUUAGUGGCGAACGGGUGAGUAACACGUGAGUAACCUGCCCCCGACUCUGGGAUAAGCCCGGGAAACUGGGUCUAAUACCGGAUAUUACCUUUGACCGCAUGGUUGUUGGUGGAAAGAUUUAUCGGUGGGGGAUGGACUCGCGGCCUAUCAGCUUGUUGGUGAGGUAAUGGCUCACCAAGGCGACGACGGGUAGCCGGCCUGAGAGGGUGACCGGCCACACUGGGACUGAGACAAGGCCCAGACUCCUACGGGAGGCAGCAGUGGGGAAUAUUGCACAAUGGGCGCAAGCCUGAUGCAGCGGCGCCGCGUGAGGGAUGACGGCCUUCGGGUUGUAAACCUCUUUCAGUAGGGAAGAAGCGAAAGUGACGGUACCUGCAGAAGAAGCGCCGGCUAACUACGUGCCAGCAGCCGCCGUAA
Molecule: ribosomal RNA, 482 nt
Filed under: uncultured bacterium
Lineage: Bacteria
Description: partial 16S ribosomal RNA
Rfam family: Bacterial small subunit ribosomal RNA
Source: RNAcentral